GCCGGGCGCACCCGUCCCGUGCGUCCCCGGACGUUGCUCUCUGCCCCGGGAACGUCGAGACUGGAGCGCCCGAGCUGAGCCACCUUCGCCGACCCCGAGCGCUGCAGCUCCACUCACCGCGGAGGCGCCUGGACGCGUAAAGUGCGUACUUUCAACCGCGAAUGAAUGUUGAGGCUUUUAGGGGUGCGGGGCGACUCCCCAACUCCACGGGGGCCCUGGUCGGCCCCGCCGCCGAGUCGGAGACCAUCCGGUUCCUCGCUUGCGCUCGGCGCGGGGCCGGCGACUUGGGCUCAAGGGCGGCGGGGCGGGGAAGUGCCUUGACCUAGGGUCCCCGAAGCCCGGAGCGAGCCCCGCUUCGCCUUGGCUCGCCUUGCCCUCCGGGGUGAGGUCUGGGCCCGGUCGCAAGCGAUUUGUACCCGGUCCCGGGGAGUCGAGCCUCCAGAUACGCCCUCGCGGUAGCGGGGACUUUUCUGGGGCGGCGGUGGCGGAGUCCGGGGCCACUGCUGCCACAGUCCCGUGCGCUGCGCGUCCCGGGGACCAGCCGCCUAACUUCUAUCCGGGACGGAGACGGCGCUCGCGCCCCGGGCGGAGGUGGGAGCUCGCUGGGCUGGGUAGGGAAGAGGGCGAAUCGUUCCCAGCGGCGGCAGCGGCGGCGGCGGCGGCGGCGGCGGCGGCGACGGCGACGACGAGGGAACAAGUCUGGAGAAGUCAACUGCAGGGCAAGGAGCCCCCACCCAGGACCCAGCGGGACCCCGCGGGCGCGAGGGCACACACCCCGCUUUGGGCGGAGGUACUUCUCUCCGGUUUUCGCGGCCCUGGCGGGAUCCUCGGCCGCGUAAGCUCCCCGAUGGACCCGUGGCUCCAGCAGUCA
RNAcentral lists this long non-coding RNA (871 nucleotides) under Lynx pardinus (Iberian lynx). The stretch from base 1 to 74 matches the Rfam family "mir-1247 microRNA precursor family". The record is from RNAcentral. Lineage: Eukaryota; Metazoa; Chordata; Mammalia; Carnivora; Felidae.